Long non-coding RNA from Malus domestica (apple), 824 nucleotides. RefSeq lists it as uncharacterized. The record is from RefSeq and is a predicted model, not a curated record. NCBI's taxonomy places the organism in Eukaryota, Viridiplantae, Streptophyta, Magnoliopsida, Rosales, Rosaceae.
UAACCCUCUAUUAGUCUAUCUCUCUACCCACCCAUUCACUCAACUGUCAAAUUCACCCCACCCUCGAUCUCUUUGACACCAUUCCGAGCCAGCCGCCAUCACCAUCGUCCUCAUCGUCUCCCCUCACCCUCGAUCUCUCUGACACCACUCCGAGCCAGCCACCAUCACCAUCGUCAUCGCCGUCUCCCCUCACCCUCGAUCUCUCUGACACCACUCCGACUCUCCUCCCUUGAUCUAUCUGACACCUUACCCUUGCUCUAACCACAUUGUCGCGCGGGCUUCCAUGGCCUCGCCCCCGCUCAACUCGUAUAGCAGUCGUCGACAAUGUCGUUUCUGAUUUUGUUUUGAUUUGAUGUAAUUUGUAAUGGUAAGGGUGGAGGUAUUGGAUCCGUGAGGAAGACGACGUAUCUAGUUCGAUUUGUGUGUCAAGGUCAGCGAGAAAUGCUUGAAGACGACGUCUCUGGUUCGAUCCGUGAGGAAGACGACGUCUCUGGUUCUCAUAGGGAUUCAAUUUUAUUUUAUUUUUUGAUGAAUUCGAAAUUGUAUUUGAAGAUUUUGUAUAGGAGAUGCUUGAUGGAAGUGGUGGGGAUCUCGGGGGUUGUGAAUGUUAGGGUUAGGGUUUUGCCCUCCAAAAAGGUCACGAAUGGGUUAUAGGUGUUGGAUUUGGCGAUGGUGGAUACUGGGAAGAAUCUGGAUAAUGAAAAUUAGGGGAAAAAAAAGUUUGUACCCGUAGGAACCAGCCCGUUUUAUACGGGCCGGGUUAGGUCCGAUUCUGAGUUUUAAAAUAAUAAAAUCCGCCCGGGCCCGGCCCGUUGUAUUUUCAA